RNAcentral lists this ribosomal RNA (414 nucleotides) under uncultured microorganism. Its description in RNAcentral is "bacterial SSU rRNA". It matches the Rfam family "Bacterial small subunit ribosomal RNA", at positions 9 to 420 of the family's 1533-position model. The record is from RNAcentral.
GAGUUUGAUCCUGGCUCAGAUUGAACGCUGGCGGCAUGCCUUACACAUGCAAGUCGAACGGCAGCAUGAUCUAGCUUGCUAGAUUGAUGGCGAGUGGCGAACGGGUGAGUAAUACAUCGGAACGUGCCCUGUAGUGGGGGAUAACUAGUCGAAAGAUUAGCUAAUACCGCAUACGACCUGAGGGUGAAAGUGGGGGACCGCAAGGCCUCAUGCUAUAGGAGCGGCCGAUGUCUGAUUAGCUAGUUGGUGGGUAAAGGCCCACCAAGGCGACGAUCAGUAGCUGGUCUGAGAGGACGAUCAGCCACACUGGGACUGAGACACGGCCCAGACUCCUACGGGAGGCAGCAGUGGGGAAUUUUGGACAAUGGGCGAAAGCCUGAUCCAGCAAUGCCGCGUGUGUGAAGAAGGCCUCGG